UGGGGAAUUUUGGACAAUGGGCGAAAGCCUGAUCCAGCAAUGCCGCGUGUGUGAAGAAGGCCUUCGGGUUGUAAAGCACUUUUGUCCGGAAAGAAAUCCUUGGCUCUAAUACAGUCGGGGGAUGACGGUACCGGAAGAAUAAGCACCGGCUAACUACGUGCCAGCAGCCGCGGUAAUACGUAGGGUGCAAGCGUUAAUCGGAAUUACUGGGCGUAAAGCGUGCGCAGGCGGUUUGCUAAGACCGAUGUGAAAUCCCCGGGCUCAACCUGGGAACUGCAUUGGUGACUGGCAGGCUAGAGUAUGGCAGAGGGGGGUAGAAUUCCACGUGUAGCAGUGAAAUGCGUAGGAGAUGUGGAGGAAUACCGAUGGCGAAGGCAGCCCCCUGGGCCAAUACUGACGCUCAUGCACGAAAAGCGUGGGGAGCAAAACAGGAUUAGAUACCCUGGUAGUCCACGCCCUAAAACGAUGUCAACUAGUUGUUGGGGAUUCAUUUCCUUAGUAACGUAGCUAACGCGUUGAAAGUUGACCGCCUGGGGGAGUACGGUCGCAAAGAUUAAAAAC
RNAcentral lists this ribosomal RNA (561 nucleotides) under uncultured bacterium. RNAcentral describes it as "partial 16S ribosomal RNA". It matches the Rfam family "Bacterial small subunit ribosomal RNA", at positions 355 to 900 of the family's 1533-position model. The record is from RNAcentral.